This 253-nucleotide ribosomal RNA is filed under the name uncultured bacterium. RNAcentral describes it as "partial 16S ribosomal RNA". It matches the Rfam family "Bacterial small subunit ribosomal RNA", at positions 524 to 776 of the family's 1533-position model. The record is from RNAcentral.
GACAGAGGGUGCAAACGUUGUUCGGAAUUACUGGGCGUAAAGCGCGUGUAGGCGGCAGGGCAAGUCGGAUGUGAAAGCCCACGGCUCAACCGUGGAAGUGCACCCGAAACUGCCUCGCUAGAGUCUCGGAGAGGAAGGUGGAAUGCUUGGUGUAGAGGUGAAAUUCGUAGAUAUCAAGCGGAACACCGGUGGCGAAGGCGGCCUUCUGGACGAUGACUGACGCUGAGACGCGAAAGCGUGGGGAGCAAACAGG